UGGGAAUCUUGCACAAUGGGGGAAACCCUGAUGCAGCGACGCCGCGUGGGUGAUGAAGUCCUUCGGGAUGUAAAGCCCUUUCGACGGGAACGAUAAUGACGGUACCCGGAGAAGAAGCUGCGGCUAACUACGUGCCAGCAGCCGCGGUAAUACGUAGGCAGCAAGCGUUGUUCGGAGUUACUGGGCGUAAAGAGUGUGUAGGCGGGUAGGCAAGUUUGGUGUGAAAUCUCCCGGCUUAACUGGGAGGGUGCGCCGAAUACUGCCUGUCUUGAGUGCGGGAGAGGAAAGCGGAAUUCCUGGUGUAGCGGUGAAAUGCGUAGAUAUCAGGAGGAACACCUGCGGUGUAGACGGCUUUCUGGACCGUAACUGACGCUGAGACACGAAAGCGUGGGUAGCAAACAG
RNAcentral lists this ribosomal RNA (402 nucleotides) under uncultured bacterium. RNAcentral's name for it is "bacterial SSU rRNA". It matches the Rfam family "Bacterial small subunit ribosomal RNA", at positions 356 to 775 of the family's 1533-position model. The record is from RNAcentral.